RNAcentral lists this non-coding RNA (25 nucleotides) under Mus musculus (house mouse). Lineage: Eukaryota; Metazoa; Chordata; Mammalia; Rodentia; Muridae. The record is from RNAcentral.
UGAGCAUAGUAAGCUGGCGCGGGUA